RNAcentral lists this long non-coding RNA (1049 nucleotides) under Felis catus (domestic cat). RNAcentral's name for it is "lncRNA (ENSFCAG00000051725.1)". Lineage: Eukaryota; Metazoa; Chordata; Mammalia; Carnivora; Felidae. The record is from RNAcentral.
GUACAAUCUGGGAAGGAUGUAGAUAGUGUCAAACUGAAAGAAGAACUCUGACAUCACACUUCCUAGAACCCCUCCUUUUGCAACUUCUCUCUUUGAAUCCCUUUGGAACUGUCACUCGUCAGCCCAAAAGAGUCAAGGAUCAAGGAAAAUGCUGAACACAAGAUGCCUUUUCAGUCAUCUCUGUGCCGACUCACCCUGUCUGCAUGAGAAUUUUCGCCUUUUGUCCCUUUUGUCUGGGAAAGAACCAACUUAAACUCUUAUCUGUGCUGGCUCAAAUCCCCAAUUUACAUCAAGCAGAGGCUGAAGAAUAAUAAUGGGACACAGCCAACGAAUAAUGCAAAUUUUGCUAUGACUUUAACCCACACGUGACUGGGUUGUCCCACGAUGUGGCAUUUGAGAUGCAUUUUGAUGUCCAUAUUUCUUGCUGUAGAUUUCUAGACACGGUGCAGCAGUCUGGUGUGACGGCUGAUUCUAAAUACCUCAGUUUCAGGAUGUUUGUCCAUCAAUUCUCCUGCACAUAAUGUGUACUUAAGACACAGCCAGAGCCUUGCAAUUUGCCCAAGUCAGGCUGGCUGCUGAUCUCACGUAGGAAAAGAAUCACCCACGGAGAGCACGGUUCUUACCCUUCUCUGAGCAGCCAUUUGGUUAGCUUUCCUUUGCUGACUCACUGGGGCUUGAGGACUUCUUCCUAGGAAGGGAGUCCUUCUCAGCUUUGAGUAAACAGCAUUCUCUUCUUUUCUUCUUUAUUUCAGGUCCUGUUUCCUCCUUUUACUUAAAAAAGUCACCUUCCUGUGAAAUAACCUGCUAUUUUGCCAAACCGGUCUGUCAGUAUAAGGAAGCCUGGGAAUGCCUUAGCGGACCUGUAGACUCGCUGGCGGAAGAGAGUCUGCUGUUCUGAAAACUGUUCCCCUCCCGUCUGGCCUGUCCUCCUAUGCCUGAGAGAUACCACUGACUCUUGCUAAUCAGCUCCCAGCCUUGCUGACCUUGAAGCAAUGGAGAAAACAACACCGUGUGUGCAUUUUGCUUAAUAAAGAAAACAUUAUUAACCA